Molecule: long non-coding RNA, 1277 nt
Organism: Strigops habroptila (Kakapo)
Lineage: Eukaryota; Metazoa; Chordata; Aves; Psittaciformes; Psittacidae
Exons: 4
Source: RefSeq, a predicted model, not a curated record
UGCAGUGCAAGAGCAAGGACUGUUCCAGGCUUGGCUGGGGCAGAAUUAGUAUGGGAAGAGUGGUAGGAAGAGCAACACAGAUCUCUCGUCUCUCAGAGUUACUCCUCUGUUUUUAACCAGAAGGACCAUUCUCAUGCCAGUACUCCAAAGACACUGCCAGAAUUAGCAGAUUCUGUGCUCUUGUUCUGAGAAUUUGAAGAAGGAUGAGCUAUGUGUUGGAUCUGUGUCUUGUAUAGCUGAAGGUGUUUGAUUUCAAGCAAGAGCAAACAAAUGUCUGUUUUUGGCAUUUUCUGCCUGAGUUAUUAACACAAUAUUUUCAUGCAUGUUGGAUGGAAAUGCCAGUCUCCCAUCCUUCAGACUUCAUGAGAAGACAGGAGUGAUUAUCCAUCUUGCAUGACCAGGAUGGCCUACCUGAGUGUAUGCUAAAUUCAGAUCAGCUCCUUACAGACCUCCUGCAUGAACUGGGCUUAAACCAACCUGUUUUUAUGCAGGGAUGCAAAUUUUCUUUCAAAAGGAGGUCUGGAAGACCAAACCGAUUUCUGAAAUAAGGUGAUGUGGCCAUGGACAAACAUAGUAUUACUUGUUUUAAAGAGUAGAAAAGUCUGACCUGCAAGCUGGUUGGGUUGUUAAUAGUAGUGUUACCAUUACACUAGAAAAUUUAGUUAAUAUAUUUUGCAGAGAGGAACACAGGCUUCUUUUGAUGCAAGCAAGGAUUUGCUCUCAUACCCAGGGAAAAAUAACUAACACUUUCCGUUAUAAAAAUGUAUAAAUACUGAAACACUUUCAGUUAAUAAUCACUUGUACGAUGUCUUGGGAUUUAGUUCUGCCCUCUCAACACCCUUCAUAAAGUAUGGUUUAAGAAAAAGUAAGUAAAAUUUUAUGUACUGCAUAAAGUAUACAUUAUAUUUCAAAUGAUCUUAAACUAUACCUUGAAUUGUGCUUUGGGGAAACAUAAUCAGAAAAGGCAGCAUCAUAGAAUGUGAGAUUGCUAAGGUAAAAUUUCUAACGUAAAACUAUACUUCCCUCAAGUAUGUUAUAGUUGAUGGAGUUAAAGACUGCUAAAAUCUUUUAGAAAGUCUUCAGGAAAAAGAAAGUAUUUACCUUGUCAUUAUGCUACUGCACUUGGAAGUAGUGUAAAAAGGCAUAUAUUUGGUUUGUUUGGGGGAAGGGAGAAUGGGAGAUCGGGAAGAAAAUCUCCUCAGGCUAAUUUGGCUAGCUGAGUUGUUUUUAGAGCUCAUCUCUUUCGGAGGGUAGCAGAGGUCAUGGAAACUGUGAUU